This 466-nucleotide ribosomal RNA is filed under the name uncultured bacterium. RNAcentral's name for it is "partial 16S ribosomal RNA". It matches the Rfam family "Bacterial small subunit ribosomal RNA", at positions 28 to 507 of the family's 1533-position model. The record is from RNAcentral.
GACGAACGCUGGCGGCGUGCUUAACACAUGCAAGUCGAACGGAAAGGCCAGUGCUUGCACUGGUACUCGAUUGGCGAACGGGUGCGUAACACGUGUGUGAUCUGCCUUGCACUUUGGUAUAAGCUUGGGAAACUGGGUCUACUACCGUAUAUGAACUGCCUUUAGUGUGGUGGCUGGAAAGUUUUUUCGGUUCAAGCUGGGCUCGCGGCCUAUCCGCUUGUUGGUGGGGUAAUGGCCUACCAAGGCGUCGACGGGUAGCCGGCCUGGGAGGGUGUACGGCCACAAUGGGACUGAGAUACGGACCAGACUCGUACGGGAGGCAGCAGUGGGGAAUAUGGCACAAUGAGCGGAAGCCUGAUGAAGAGACGCCGGGUGGGGGAUGACGGCCUUCGGGUUGUAAACACCUUUCGACAGGGACGAAGCGUAAGUGACGGUACCUGUAUAAGAAGCACCGGCUAACUACGUG